RNAcentral lists this ribosomal RNA (477 nucleotides) under uncultured Candidatus Scalindua sp. Its description in RNAcentral is "bacterial SSU rRNA". It matches the Rfam family "Bacterial small subunit ribosomal RNA", at positions 365 to 832 of the family's 1533-position model. Lineage: Bacteria; Pseudomonadati; Planctomycetota; Candidatus Brocadiia; Candidatus Brocadiales; Candidatus Scalinduaceae. The record is from RNAcentral.
UUCGCAAUGCCCGAAAGGGUGACGAAGCGACGCCGCGUGGGUGAAGAAGGCCUUCGGGUUGUAAAGCCCUGUCAGGAGUUAUGAAAUAUAAGUGCGCUAAUAUCGUGCUUAUUUGACAAAGGCUCCAAAGGAAGCCACGGCUAACUCUGUGCCAGCAGCCGCGGUAAUACAGAGGUGGCGAGCGUUGUUCGGAAUUAUUGGGCGUAAAGAGCACGUAGGUGGGUUUGCAAGUCAGAUGUGAAAGCCUUCUGUUCAACGGAAGAAUUGCAUCUGAAACUGCUGAUCUUGAGUAUAGGAGGGGAGAAUGGAACUUCUGGUGGAGCGGUGAAAUGCGUAGAUAUCAGAAGGAACGCCGGCGGCGAAAGCGAUUCUCUGGCCUAUUACUGACACUCAGUGUGCGAAAGCUAGGGGAGCAAACGGGAUUAGAUACCCCGGUAGUCCUAGCUGUAAACGAUGGGCACUAAGUAGAGGGGUUUU